RNAcentral lists this ribosomal RNA (429 nucleotides) under Actinomycetes bacterium. Its description in RNAcentral is "Actinobacteria bacterium partial 16S ribosomal RNA". It matches the Rfam family "Bacterial small subunit ribosomal RNA", at positions 355 to 776 of the family's 1533-position model. The record is from RNAcentral. Lineage: Bacteria; Bacillati; Actinomycetota; Actinomycetes.
UAGGGAAUCUUCCGCAAUGGGCGAAAGCUUGACGGAGCAACGCCGCGUGAGUGAUGAAGGUCUUCGGAUCGUAAAACUCUGUUAUUAGGGAAAAACAAAUGUGUAAGUAACUAUGCACGUCUUGACGGUACCUAAUCAGAAAGCCACGGCUAACUACGUGCCAGCAGCCGCGGUAAUACGUAGGUGGCAAGCGUUAUCCGGAAUUAUUAGGCGUAAAGCGCGCGUAGGCGGUGUUUUAAGUCUGAUGUGAAAGCCCACGGCUCAACCGUGGAGGGUCAUUGUAAACUGGAAAACUUGAGUGCAGAAGAGGAAAGUGGAAUUCCAUGUGUAGCGGUGAAAUGCGCAGAGAUAUGGAGGAACACCAGUGGCGAAGGCGACUUUCUAGUCUGUAACUGACGCUGAUGUGCGAAAGCAUGGGGAUCAAACAGG